GGGGGAGAGGUGCAGAGGGAGGAGGGGGUUAAUUCGGCAAUUGAGGAUUUGAUUCCGGAGAAGGAUAAGUGGAAGCCGUUCUGGGUGAGGGGGAAGGAUUUGCUGGGGUACUCGCUGAAUUCGCUGAGGUCGUCUGGGUUCAGGUUUGAGGAUACAGUGGCUGAGCGGUCGUCGGCGGUGGUGAGGAUGGUGAUUGGCGAGGAGGAGACUCGCCGGCUUCUUGAGAAAUGCAAAGCGAAGGGGAUAAAGCUAUGUGGAGCUAUAUUGGCUGCG
RNAcentral lists this unclassified non-coding RNA (273 nucleotides) under Hevea brasiliensis (rubber tree). Lineage: Eukaryota; Viridiplantae; Streptophyta; Magnoliopsida; Malpighiales; Euphorbiaceae. The record is from RNAcentral.